This is a non-coding RNA of Curvularia clavata, 93 nucleotides long. Lineage: Eukaryota; Fungi; Ascomycota; Dothideomycetes; Pleosporales; Pleosporaceae. The record is from the annotation of a GenBank genome assembly.
GCAUCGGUGGUUUAGUGGUAAAAUUAGCCGUUGCCAUUCAUCUUCUUGAUGAGCGACGUCGGCUAGCCCCGGGUUCGAUUCCCGGCCGAUGCA